Molecule: ribosomal RNA, 492 nt
Filed under: uncultured bacterium
Lineage: Bacteria
Description: partial 16S ribosomal RNA
Rfam family: Bacterial small subunit ribosomal RNA
Source: RNAcentral
AGUGGGCGCUGGCGGUAGGCCUAACACAUGCAAGUCGAACGGCAGCACAGUAAGAGCUUGCUCUUACGGGUGGCGAGUGGCGGACGGGUGAGGAAUACAUCGGAAUCUACUUUUUCGUGGGGGAUAACGUAGGGAAACUUACGCUAAUACCGCAUACGACCUACGGGUGAAAGCAGGGGAUCUUCGGACCUUGCGCGAUUGAAUGAGCCGAUGUCGGAUUAGCUAGUUGGCGGGGUAAAGGCCCACCAAGGCGACGAUCCGUAGCUGGUCUGAGAGGAUGAUCAGCCACACUGGAACUGAGACACGGUCCAGACUCCUACGGGAGGCAGCAGUGGGGAAUAUUGGACAAUGGGCGCAAGCCUGAUCCAGCCAUACCGCGUGGGUGAAGAAGGCCUUCGGGUUGUAAAGCCCUUUUGUUGGGAAAGAAAAGCAGCAGGUUAAUACCCCGCUGUUCUGACGGUACCCAAAGAAUAAGCACCGGCUAACUUCGUG